Molecule: long non-coding RNA, 769 nt
Organism: Nematostella vectensis (starlet sea anemone)
Lineage: Eukaryota; Metazoa; Cnidaria; Anthozoa; Actiniaria; Edwardsiidae
Exons: 3
Source: RefSeq, a predicted model, not a curated record
GUUAAUAUCGAGAUGCUGCAAUCACUUCCUUUGGUAAGAAAUAAAUACGGAGACAAGUGAAGGCAGGUUAUUAGUUUUGAGAGCACCCAAAGGAGUAUAGAGAAAGAGACGGAAAGCAGCCCACUACAAACCUAAGCCAAAAGAUGAAUCGUACUGCCCUGUUUCUAGUUUGUCUACUUGGAUUGAUGGUUUUCACACAGGCUAAGCCGUAUCGCCAUGAAAACCUGCAGGACAGGGAGCUCAGAGGUCUUCUUAAGAGAUGGUUACAAAAAAGGUCAUGCAAUGGCGAUCCAUGUGAUACUGAUGCAAAUUGCAUAUGUAACGGCCAUUUCCUUGCAUGCGUGGAAAGCCCUUCACCUUUCGGAUCUUCUAAGACUUGCGAGGACAACGGAUCGCUGCCCAACCCCCAGAGGAAGAAGUGAAAGGCGUAUGUCAACCCAAUGAAUCUUUUACCUGGCACCUAUAAUCAUCUUACCUGGAACUACAAGAAGAUCACUUUCUUUCUAAUCCUUGUAACUUCAACUAUUGUAAAUUAUAACCAAAUUACUUGUACUCGGAAUCUUAGAACCUUAUUUAUUUCGCACGUUUUAUUGAAAACAGGGCGUACACAUCAGUUAUUAUGGACAUUUGAGGUUCAUGUAUUUAUUUAAAGAAAAUAGAGCAAAGUAAAGCACAAGAUCGAUUGCUUGUAUGCUCAUAUCACAUCAUAUAAUGAUCGUCAUGUGAUAAUCACUAUGGUACUAAUAAUAAAUUGCACAUAUCUUGCAAA